Molecule: ribosomal RNA, 581 nt
Filed under: uncultured bacterium
Lineage: Bacteria
Description: bacterial SSU rRNA
Rfam family: Bacterial small subunit ribosomal RNA
Source: RNAcentral
ACGGGUGAGUAAUGUCUGGGAAACUGCCUGAUGGAGGGGGAUAACUACUGGAAACGGUAGCUAAUACCGCAUGAUGUCGCAAGACCAAAGUGGGGGACCUUCGGGCCUCACGCCAUCGGAUGUGCCCAGAUGGGAUUAGCUAGUAGGUGGGGUAAUGGCUCACCUAGGCGACGAUCCCUAGCUGGUCUGAGAGGAUGACCAGCCACACUGGAACUGAGACACGGUCCAGACUCCUACGGGAGGCAGCAGUGGGGAAUAUUGCACAAUGGGCGCAAGCCUGAUGCAGCCAUGCCGCGUGUGUGAAGAAGGCCUUAGGGAUGUAAAGCACUUUCAGCGAGGAGGAAGGCGUUGUAGUUAAUAGCUGCAACGAUUGACGUUACUCGCAGAAGAAGCACCGGCUAACUCCGUGCCAGCAGCCGCGGUAAUACGGAGGGUGCAAGCGUUAAUCGGAAUUACUGGGCGUAAAGCGCACGCAGGCGGUUUGUUAAGUCAGAUGUGAAAUCCCCGAGCUUAACUUGGGAACUGCAUUUGAAACUGGCAAGCUAGAGUCUUGUAGAGGGGGGUAGAAUUCCAGGUGUAGC